CCUACGGGUGGCUGCAGUGGGGAAUUUUGGACAAUGGGCGCAAGCCUGAUCCAGCAAUGCCGCGUGCAGGAUGAAGGCCUUCGGGUUGUAAACUGCUUUUGUACGGAGCGAAACGGCUCUCUCUAAUACAGGGGGCUAAUGACGGUACCGUAAGAAUAAGCACCGGCUAACUACGUGCCAGCAGCCGCGGUAAUACGUAGGGUGCAAGCGUUAAUCGGAAUUACUGGGCGCAAAGCUUUAGCACAGGGUUGAAAUCCCCGGGCUCAACCUGGGACCUGCAUUUGUGACUGUAUAGCUAGAGUACGGCAGAGGGGGAUGGAAUUCCGCGUGUAGCAGUGAAAUGCGUAGAUAUGCGGAGGAACACCGAUGGCGAAGGCAAUCCCCUGGGCCUGUACUGACGCUCAUGCACGAAAGCGUGGGGAGCAAACAGGAUUAAAUACCCCAGUAGUC
RNAcentral lists this ribosomal RNA (450 nucleotides) under uncultured bacterium. RNAcentral describes it as "partial 16S ribosomal RNA". It matches the Rfam family "Bacterial small subunit ribosomal RNA", at positions 338 to 795 of the family's 1533-position model. The record is from RNAcentral.